UCAGACUCGCGGCACCGAGCUCAGUAACACGUGGCCAAACUACCCUACAGAGACGGAUACCCUCGGGAAACUGAGGUUAACCCGUCAUACCGAUCUCAGGCUUGAAUCGCAGAGAUCACAAAACGCCCCGGCGCUGUAGGAUGUGGCUGCGGUUGAUUAGGUAGACGGUGGGGUAACGGCCCACCGUGCCCAUAAUCAGUACAGGUUGUGAGAGCAAGAACCUGGAGACGGAAUCUGAGACAAGAUUCCGGGCCCUACGGGGCGCAGCAGGCGCGAAACCUUUACACUGCACGCCAGUGCGAUAAGGGGACCCCAAGUGCGCAGGCAUAGUGCCUGCGCUUUUCUGGACUGUAGGGCGGUCCAGGAACAAGGGCUGGGCAAGACCGGUGCCAGCCGCCGCGGUAAUACCGGCAGCCCAAGUGAUGGCCGCUGUUAUUGGGCCUAAAGCGUCCGUAGCUGGCCGCACAAGUCCGUCGGGAAAUCCGCCCGCUCAACGGGCGGCCGUCCGGCGGAACCUGUGUGGCUUGGGACCGGGAGGCCUGAGGGGUACGAUCGGGGUAGGAGUGAAAUCCUGUAAUCCCGCUCGGACCACCGAUGGCGAAAGCACUUCGAGAAAACGGAUCCGACAGUGAGGGACGAAAGCCAGGGUCUCCAACCGGAUUAGAUACCCGGGUAGUCCUGGCCGUAAACAAUGUUCGCUAGGUAUGACACAGACUACGCGUCUCUGUUGUGCCGUAGGGAAGCCG
RNAcentral lists this ribosomal RNA (746 nucleotides) under uncultured archaeon. RNAcentral describes it as "bacterial SSU rRNA". It matches the Rfam family "Archaeal small subunit ribosomal RNA", at positions 70 to 814 of the family's 1478-position model. The record is from RNAcentral.